Molecule: ribosomal RNA, 497 nt
Filed under: uncultured bacterium
Lineage: Bacteria
Description: partial 16S ribosomal RNA
Rfam family: Bacterial small subunit ribosomal RNA
Source: RNAcentral
GAUGAACGCUGGCGGCGUGCCUAAUACAUGCAAGUCGAGCGACCGGACGAGAAGCUUGCUUCUCUGAUGUUAGCGGCGGACGGGUGAGUAACACGUGGAUAACCUACCUAUAAGACUGGGAUAACUUCGGGAAACCGGAGCUAAUACCGGAUGAUAUUUUGAACCGCAUGGUUCAAAAGUGAAAGACGGUCUUGCUGUCACUUAUAGCUGGAUCCGCGCUGCAUUAGCUAGUUGGUAAGGUAACGGCUUACCAAGGCAACGAUGCAUAGCCGACCUGAGAGGGUGAUCGGCCACACUGGAACUGAGACACGGUCCAGACUCCUACGGGAGGCAGCAGUAGGGAAUCUUCGGCAAUGGGCGAAAGCCUGACGCAGCAACGCCGCGUGAGUGAUGAAGGUCUUCGGAUCGUAAAGCUCUGUUAUUAGGGAAGAACAUAUGUGGAAGUAACUGUGCACAUCUUGACGGUACCUAAUCAGAAAGCCACGGCUAACUACGUG